Molecule: long non-coding RNA, 300 nt
Filed under: Helianthus annuus (common sunflower)
Lineage: Eukaryota; Viridiplantae; Streptophyta; Magnoliopsida; Asterales; Asteraceae
Description: sRNA HanXRQr2_Chr09g0384701
Source: RNAcentral
AUGGUCCAUAAUGAUGUGAUUGUGGCAAAGAGUCCGGAUCGUCAAGCGGACAAGCCGAAAGGAAUCCACGGGGAAAGGGUGUGCUCUAAAGUUUCAGGUACCCAAGAAAAAGGAUGAUGAUCAAGCAAUCGAGUCGAACCGAACACACAUAUUAUAACGCUUCCGCACUUGAUAUUUUGUUUUGUAACUAUGUAAACACUCGUAGUUUUACCUUGAACAUCGUUUAGUAGGUUAAACAUGUGAAUGUUGUAACUAGUUGGUUCUCAAAUCUUGAAAGUUUUUGUAAAGUCUACUUUUGGC